AACCCAUGAUGAGGACACAUUCUCAACAAAUCCUUAAAUCUCUCCCAUACAUCAUAUAAGUCUCUAAACCAAUUUGAGAAAAAGAAGAGAUGUUGUCCCUCAACUU
Gossypium hirsutum (cotton) is the source of this 106-nucleotide non-coding RNA. Lineage: Eukaryota; Viridiplantae; Streptophyta; Magnoliopsida; Malvales; Malvaceae. The record is from Rfam.